Molecule: ribosomal RNA, 465 nt
Filed under: Vreelandella stevensii
Lineage: Bacteria; Pseudomonadati; Pseudomonadota; Gammaproteobacteria; Oceanospirillales; Halomonadaceae
Description: partial 16S ribosomal RNA
Rfam family: Bacterial small subunit ribosomal RNA
Source: RNAcentral
CCUACGGGAGGCUGCAGUGGGGAAUAUUGGACAACGGGGGGAACCCUGAUCCAGCCAUGCCGCGUGUGUGAAGAAGGCCCUCGGGUUGUAAAGCACUUUCAGUGAGGAAGAACGCCUGGUGGUUAAUACCCAUCAGGAAAGACAUCACUCACAGAAGAAGCACCGGCUAACUCCGUGCCAGCAGCCGCGGUAAUACGGAGGGUGCGAGCGUUAAUCGGAAUUACUGGGCGUAAAGCGCGCGUAGGUGGCUUGAUAAGCCGGUUGUGAAAGCCCCGGGCUCAACCUGGGAACGGCAUCCGGAACUGUCAAGCUAGAGUGCAGGAGAGGAAGGUAGAAUUCCCGGUGUAGCGGUGAAAUGCGUAGAGAUCGGGAGGAAUACCAGUGGCGAAGGCGGCCUUCUGGACUGACACUGACACUGAGGUGCGAAAGCGUGGGUAGCAAACAGGAUUAGAUACCCUGGUAGUC